This 638-nucleotide ribosomal RNA is filed under the name uncultured bacterium. RNAcentral's name for it is "bacterial SSU rRNA". It matches the Rfam family "Bacterial small subunit ribosomal RNA", at positions 84 to 740 of the family's 1533-position model. The record is from RNAcentral.
AUUUAAUUCUAGUGGCGGACGGGUGAGUAACGCGUGGGUAACCUGCCUUGUACAGGGGGAUAACAGUCAGAAAUGACUGCUAAUACCGCAUAAGCGCACAGGACCGCAUGGUCCGGUGUGAAAAACUCCGGUGGUAUAAGAUGGACCCGCGUUGGAUUAGCUAGUUGGCAGGGUAACGGCCUACCAAGGCGACGAUCCAUAGCCGGACUGAGAGGUUGAACGGCCACAUUGGGACUGAGACACGGCCCAGACUCCUACGGGAGGCAGCAGUGGGGGAUAUUGCACAAUGGGGGAAACCCUGAUGCAGCGACGCCGCGUGGAGGAAGAAGGUUUUCGGAUUGUAAACUCCUGUCGUUAGGGACGAUAAUGACGGUACCUAACAAGAAAGCACCGGCUAACUACGUGCCAGCAGCCGCGGUAAUACGUAGGGGGCAAGCGUUAUCCGGAUUUACUGGGUGUAAAGGGAGCGUAGACGGUGUGGCAAGUCUGAUGUGAAAGGCAUGGGCUCAACCUGUGGACUGCAUUGGAAACUGUCAUACUUGAGUGCCGGAGGGGUAAGCGGAAUUCCUAGUGUAGCGGUGAAAUGCGUAGAUAUUAGGAGGAACACCAGUGGCGAAGGCGGCUUACUGGACGGUAAC